Molecule: long non-coding RNA, 1550 nt
Organism: Vicia villosa (hairy vetch)
Lineage: Eukaryota; Viridiplantae; Streptophyta; Magnoliopsida; Fabales; Fabaceae
Exons: 3
Source: RefSeq, a predicted model, not a curated record
CCUCUCCGCCAAUCUAAACUACAAUUACCCCUCCGCCAAUCUAAACUACAAUAACCCAUUCGCCAAUCCAAACUACAAUAACCCCUUCACGAAUCCAAACUACAAUAACUCCUCCACCAUUCCAAACUACAAUAACCUCUCUACCAAUACAAACUACAUAACCAUAACUUUCUUCAGAGACAUUUCCUCAUCAUGACAUUUCACCACCUCACUCUAAAGAUGUUGUGGUAGAAGAUAAGACUGGAGAUGUUGGGGUAGAAAUUGAGACUAAAGAUGCUGUUAAAGGGGCUAGUUCUAAAUAUUGGGAUGUAAAUGUUAUUAAUGAGGUGGGUCAUAUUUCAAACACAAACUCAUGUGUAUAAGACUUUGUUGGAAAAACAACUUCUGAUGGAACAUGGUUAAUACUUCAACGAAAUUCAGAUGGUCCCGCAGUAGGAUCAGUUGCUCGUUCGUUAUUAGGGUAUUUGGGUAAAGUUGUUAGAAUGUUUCAAAAUUUUCUCAUAAUGGAUAAUAGUUGGAAGGUGAUUCCAAAGAAUAGAAAAACAAAGUUUAAUGAGAAAAAGAUAAAGGUGUCAUUAAUAAAUAACUACAUAUUUUAAAAUUAAUUUUAUGGAAAAUAUUAUUUGCUUUGUCAACUAAAUUUUAUUUUUGUUAUUAGCUCCAUUUUGUUGUUGAUGGCGAAGAUAACAUAGAUUUCAUACUUUUUUCUAUUGAAAAGAGAUGGAGGGAUAGCCUGCAUCACUUGUUUUAAAAAAAUUAUACAUGGGAUCUCACAUUAGAGGAGAAUCCUGCAAAAUUUUUAAAAGGUAUUGUUAACGUAAAUGAUUGGGUUGUUUUUGUUCAAUAUAGACGAAGAAGAUAUACAGGUAAUAUUAGUGUUUUACUCGCAUAAUUGUAUUUAUAUAUAAAUGAGUAUUUCCUAAGUGUUUUAGUGCAUGUUUUUAUUUGUUAGCAAUAUAGAAAAUAGAAAAAAAAGCCAAAAAUACAGAAAAAUUGAAUAUUAUGCAUAUAGUCGUCUCUCAGUCGCUUGCAAGGAAGCGACAUGAGUUGGUAUGACUAAAUCUAUGUAUUAUUGAUUGUAUGCCUAAUAGUACAAAUAAUUAAUAUUUGUGAUUAUUUGUAGGAAAUGAGAGAUGGACGACCAUACAACAGAGGAAAAAUGUAUGUAGUUUGUCAUAAAACGUUUGACGGUUCUUUUGUCAAUGAAGAUGCAUACAACAAUAAUUACAAUUUUGUCUCCAACGGUCAGUGACGGGAGGCAAUGGACAAUCAGGUUUCAACUUUACCUAAAUCCAAUGACUGUCGUUGACAAAACCAACAAUAAUGAUUGUGCGCGUACUCAUAUACAUAUGUGGAGCUAAGAUAGGGAAAAUGUGAUGUUAAGUAUCAUGGAAAGGAAAAUAAAUACGACACUGUAUUUAGAAGCAAUAAGGCAACCCAUAUUAGGAAUCGUCAUCCGUUUUUCAUUGCCAUGCAUACCCAAGUGUUCUACUCGUAACACAUUCCUAAUUGUAGAGACAUUGUCAUAUAACAACUUGUAAAACAAGUGC